RNAcentral lists this long non-coding RNA (958 nucleotides) under Ananas comosus (pineapple). RNAcentral's name for it is "long non-coding RNA (ACOM_LNC030536)". The record is from RNAcentral. Lineage: Eukaryota; Viridiplantae; Streptophyta; Magnoliopsida; Poales; Bromeliaceae.
AUCCAAACUACCAACAGAUUCACUGUAUACACAGAAAAUCUCGUGCACAUGAAAGGUCUGUUUCGUUGCACGUAUUCACAAUUAUAUUACACUUGCAAAUGCAUACUAUCUCAAUUUCUGUGUUUGGUUUAGCGCACUUGAGUCCAACUAAGGCAGUUGCAAUUGCACAAAAAGAUUCAAAUGUUGUAGUUGGAACUAUAUUCAAAUUGACUGUAGUUCCAACUUCAGCAGCUGGUGAGAAAUAGGAUCACCCACAAAUUAACAAUAAUAAAUAAAUAAAUAAAUAGCUAAAUAAAUAAAUAAUUAAUAUAUAUAUUUGUAAAUAAAAAUACUUGUAAAUAAAUUCAUACUAAUAAAGAUUUUAGGCAAUACAAGGUUCGUGUAAAAAAUUAAAGUUUUUAAAAAUUAUUUUUAUUUAAAAUAUAAAAAGUAGUUUUUUUUUUCCAAAUUUCAUAGAAUGUGAUUGUGUAUGUUAACUUAAUAAGUUUUAAUUAAUUAUAAUUAUUAAAUUUGAUAUAAAAAAAGAGAGAGAAUCAUUUAAAUUUUUAAAGUUUGAUUUAUAUAUUAAAAUUAAAUAUAUUGAAAAUUUUAAAUCUGUCCGAUUGAUAAGUUGAAGAAUUAUUGAAAAAUAUAAAAAUAUUACAUAUAUCCUCUUAUUUAUUUAUAAACAGUAAGUUUAAAUUGGUUAAGAAAAUUAUACAAUUAUUUUAUGUAUAGUGAAGGUAAUCUCACCACUCUAUCUGGAGAGAUAACGAGAUUCACAAAUACAAUUAUCAACUUCACAUUAUCAAAUAGAAGAAAUGCAACUGCAAUAGUUGCAUCUAUACAAAACCAAACAAACUAUGUAUAAUUACAACUGUUGUAAUUUCAUUUGCAUGCAUUUUUAAAUACAACUACAUCCAACCAAACAGCUCCGAAGUGUCUACACCAGCAUAAAUAUAAAGAUGCUACUACAGCU